CCUACGGGAGGCAGCAGUGAGGAAUAUUGGUCAAUGGACGCAAGUCUGAACCAGCCAUGCCGCGUGCAGGAAGACGGCACUAUGAGUUGUAAACCGCUUUUGUCCGAGGGCAAACGCAGAUACGCGUCCCCGUCUGAAAGUAUCGUACGAAUAAGGAUCGGCUAACUCCGUGCCAGCAGCCGCGGUAAUACGGAGGAUUCAAGCGUUAUCCGGAUUUAUUGGGUUUAAAGGGUGCGUAGGCGGUCGGAUAAGUUAGAGGUGAAAUCCCGGGGCUCAACCCCUUCGAGCCGUUGAAACUGGUUGUCUUGAGUGGGAGAGAAGUAUGCGGAAUGCGUGGUGUAGCGGUGAAAUGCAUAGAUAUCGCGCAGAACUCCGAUUGCGAAGGCAGCAUGCCGGCGCUCAACUGACGCUCAUGCACGAAAGUGUGGGUAUCGAACAGGAUUAGAUACCCGGGUAGUC
This 459-nucleotide ribosomal RNA is filed under the name uncultured bacterium. RNAcentral's name for it is "partial 16S ribosomal RNA". It matches the Rfam family "Bacterial small subunit ribosomal RNA", at positions 338 to 795 of the family's 1533-position model. The record is from RNAcentral.